Molecule: ribosomal RNA, 468 nt
Filed under: uncultured bacterium
Lineage: Bacteria
Description: partial 16S ribosomal RNA
Rfam family: Bacterial small subunit ribosomal RNA
Source: RNAcentral
GACGAACGCUGGCGGCGUGCUUAACACAUGCAAGUCGAACGGAAAGGCCCUGCUUUUGUGGGGUGCUCGAGUGGCGAACGGGUGAGUAACACGUGAGUAACCUGCCCCUGACUUUGGGAUAACUUCUGGAAACUGGGGCUAAUACCGCAUAGGAGCUCCUGCUGCAUGGUGGGGGUUGGAUAGUUUCGGCGGUUGGGGAUGGACUCGCGGCUUAUCAGCGUGUUGGUGGGGUAGUGGCUUACCAAGGCUUUGACGGGUAGCCGGCCUGAGAGGGUGACCGGCCACAUUGGGACUGAGAUACGGCCCAGACGCCUACGGGAGGCAGCAGUGGGGAAUAUUGCGCAAUGGGCGGAAGCCUGAUGCAGCGACGCCGCGUGCGGGAUGACGGCCUUCGGGUUGUAAACCGCUUUCGCCUGUGACGAAGCGUGAGUGACGGUAAUGGGUAAAGAAGCACCGGCUAACUACGUG